RNAcentral lists this unclassified non-coding RNA (425 nucleotides) under fungal sp. RNAcentral describes it as "partial internal transcribed spacer region". The stretch from base 1 to 46 matches the Rfam family "Eukaryotic small subunit ribosomal RNA", at positions 1786 to 1831 of the family's 1831-position model. The record is from RNAcentral. Lineage: Eukaryota; Fungi.
AAGUCGUAACAAGGUUUCCGUAGGUGAACCUGCGGAAGGAUCAUUAACACGUAUCCACGUAUCUACCUCUUGCGAACUUGUUUUGUUUUAUAGUCGUGCUCAGGUAUUUUAUCAAGGAAGUAGAUGGCCAUGUCAGGAGAAAAAUUCAUUUUUUUUUCUUGUUCUACUUGCCUUCCACCCAAUGUUUUGAGUGCUGGUGUAUUGAGAUCCUGUGAUGCCUUUGUGGCGUCCACAGUUUCCUACUAGCAGAACGCUCCUUGGGAUGGGUAUCUGGCGUGACUCGAAUCAUGGUGGUUAUUCACUAUUAACCCCUUUUUUUUUAAAAAAUUUUUGUCUCAGUGUGAGUGGGUGGUGCUCUUGUGGCGCCCUCCUCAUCAAAAAAAAAUAACAAAGAUACAACUCUUAGCAACGGAUAUCUAGGUUCU